Molecule: long non-coding RNA, 650 nt
Organism: Diceros bicornis minor
Lineage: Eukaryota; Metazoa; Chordata; Mammalia; Perissodactyla; Rhinocerotidae
Exons: 5
Source: RefSeq, a predicted model, not a curated record
AGGGAUACAGAGUGGUCAGGUUCAUCUGAAUCCGCCAAAAUGUCCUCAGGCACAGUAAGACCAAGCUGAUCUUUUAACAAUAUGGUAUGGAAGACUCAGUCUACCCUAGGGUAAAGAAGAGUCUUAUCUUCUCGCUGAGGUGAUUGAGCCAAACUGAGCAUGCUGGCCACGUGACUUACUCUUGACUGCUAACUAAUAGAAUGGAGCUCAGCUCUAAGCAUCCCGAGCAGGCUCACGGUCCAGCAGCGCUCCCUGGAGGGCGGUGGCAAAAUAGCAGCCUGUCAGACCGCAGGUGGAAGGCGAGGAACCAGCUAUAAUGAAACGCGUUUCGACUGCGGAGCGCACGGAGGUGACAGCAGUAUUCCUCAAUAUAUGUUUUCCCUUUCUUCUGAAUGAACAGACUUCUUAACUGGGCACAGGGCUUACUGCAAUAAAUAUUACAUGUCCCAGCCAUCCUGGAGUUAAGUCAUUAUUGUGCCUGGAAUAUGGAUGCUUCCUUAUAAUAUGAGGAUAAGGACCCUACCCCAGGGAUGGCUGAAUGGUGAAUUGGAUAGUAUCUCAGGAUAGUAUUGAACUGAGUGACCAUACCACUCUGGACUUCUUAUCUCAACACUAUGUGAUUAACAUGAGUACAAAAUAAACACCUUCCU